RNAcentral lists this long non-coding RNA (250 nucleotides) under Gossypium barbadense (sea-island cotton). RNAcentral's name for it is "long non-coding RNA (GBAR_LNC001417)". Lineage: Eukaryota; Viridiplantae; Streptophyta; Magnoliopsida; Malvales; Malvaceae. The record is from RNAcentral.
AUUUACUAACCUUCCUUAUGAUUCAAAUGGCCGAAUGUCUUGCUCCAUUUUUUUUUCUUUCUUUAGAUUCGGCUAAGAAGAACAAAGCUGAGACUUUGUUUUCUUCACCAUUCUUUCUAUUAUUAUUUUAUUUUAUUCAUCUAUAUUAUAAAGUAUAAAGCCAUUUAACUAAUAAUUAAUACAUAUAUUUAAUAUAAAAGCAUCAUCAUGGCCGGCCACUAUAAACAAAUAUGUAUAUUUGACAUGCAAG